UGCUGGUUAGCUCAGUCGGUACAGCAUAAGACUCAUCAUCUCAGGGUCAUGAGUUCAAGCACCACGUUGGGCAA
This is a non-coding RNA of Podarcis lilfordi (Lilford's wall lizard), 74 nucleotides long. The record is from the annotation of a GenBank genome assembly. NCBI's taxonomy places the organism in Eukaryota, Metazoa, Chordata, Lepidosauria, Squamata, Lacertidae.